CCAAUUGGGGGUCCUAUUCAUGCAGUCGACGAACUCUGGUAUUGAUUGGUGCUUGCAUCAUGAUUUACAUUUGAGUGAGUGGCGAACUGGUGAGUAACACGUGGGAAACCUGCCCAGAAGCGGGGGAUAACACCUGGAAACAGAUGCUAAUACCGCAUAACAACUUGGACCGCAUGGUCCGAGUUUGAAAGAUGGCUUCGGCUAUCACUUCUGGAUGGUCCCGCGGCGUAUUAGCUAGAUGGUGAGGUAACGGCUCACCAUGGCAAUGAUACGUAGCCGACCUGAGAGGGUAAUCGGCCACAUUGGGACUGAGACACGGCCCAAACUCCUACGGGAGGCAGCAGUAGGGAAUCUUCCACAAUGGACGAAAGUCUGAUGGAGCAACGCCGCGUGAGUGAAGAAGGGUUUCGGCUCGUAAAACUCUGUUGUUAAAGAAGAACAUAUCUGAGAGUAACUGUUCAGGUAUUGACGGUAUUUAACCAGAAAGCCACGGCUAACUACGUGCCAGCAGCCGCGGUAAUACGUAGGUGGCAAGCGUUGUCCGGAUUUAUUGGGCGUAAAGCGAGCGCAGGCGGUUUUUUAAGUCUGAUGUGAAAGCCUUCGGCUCAACCGAAGAAGUGCAUCGGAAACUGGGAAACUUGAGUGCAGAAGAGGACAGUGGAACUCCAUGUGUAGCGGUGAAAUGCGUAGAUAUAUGGAAGAACACCAGUGGCGAAGGCGGCUGUCUGGUCUGUAACUGACGCUGAGGCUCGAAAGUAUGGGUAGCAAACAGGAUUAGAUACCCUGGUAGUCCAUACCGUAAACGAUGAAUGCUAAGUGUUGGAGGGUUUCCGCCCUUCAGUGCUGCAGCUAACGCAUUAAGCAUUCCGCCUGGGGAGUACGGCCGCAAGGCUGAAACUCAAAGGAAUUGACGGGGGCCCGCACAAGCGGUGGAGCAUGUGGUUUAAUUCGAAGCUACGCGAAGAACCUUACCAGGUCUUGACAUACUAUGCAAAUCUAAGAGAUUAGACGUUUCCCUUCGGGGACAUGGGAUACAGGGUGGUGCAUGGAUUGUCGUCAGCUCGUGUCGUGAGAUGUUGGGUUAAGUCCCGCAAACGAGCGCACCCUUAUUUAUCAGUUGCCAGCAAUUAAGAGGGGCACUCUGGCGAGACUGCGGAUGACCAAUGGAGAUGGGGGGGAUGACGGUUCGAAAUUUCAAU
Molecule: ribosomal RNA, 1199 nt
Filed under: Lactiplantibacillus plantarum
Lineage: Bacteria; Bacillati; Bacillota; Bacilli; Lactobacillales; Lactobacillaceae
Description: bacterial SSU rRNA
Rfam family: Bacterial small subunit ribosomal RNA
Source: RNAcentral